Molecule: ribosomal RNA, 553 nt
Filed under: Rousettus leschenaultii (Leschenault's rousette)
Lineage: Eukaryota; Metazoa; Chordata; Mammalia; Chiroptera; Pteropodidae
Description: partial 16S ribosomal RNA
Rfam family: Bacterial large subunit ribosomal RNA
Source: RNAcentral
CACCUCCAGCAUAACAAUUAUUGGAGGCACUGCCUGCCCAGUGACUUCCGUUAAACGGCCGCGGUAUCCUGACCGUGCAAAGGUAGCAUAAUCAUUUGUUCUCUAAAUAAGGACUUGUAUGAACGGCCACACGAGGGUUUUACUGUCUCUUACUUCCAAUCAGUGAAAUUGACCUUCCCGUGAAGAGGCGGGAAUUACCAAAUAAGACGAGAAGACCCUAUGGAGCUUUAAUUAACUGACCCACAGAAUGACACUUCACUCUCCCAAGGGAAAUAAAUCAACCCUCUGUUGGGCCAACAAUUUCGGUUGGGGUGACCUCGGAAAACAAAAAAACUUCCGAGUGAUUUUAACCAAGACUGACAAGUCAAAGUUCAUAAUCACUUAGUGAUCCAAAAAUUCUUUUGAUCAACGGAACAAGUUACCCUAGGGAUAACAGCGCAAUCCUAUUUGAGAGUCCAUAUCGAUAAUAGGGUUUACGACCUCGAUGUUGGAUCAGGACAUCCCAAUGGUGCAGCCGCUAUUAAUGGUUCGUUUGUUCAACGAUUAAAGUCCU